CGCUGGCGGCGUGCCUAACACAUGCAAGUCGAGCGGGGACAUGCGACGGAGUCAAAGUUUCGGAUGGAGACGAAGAUGUAUGUUCUAGCGGCGGACGGGUGAGUAACGCGUGAGCAACCUGUCCUUCACAGGGGGAUAACACAGCGAAAGUUGUACUAAUACCGCAUAAGACCACAGCAGGACAUCCUGCAGGGGUCAAAGGAGCAAUCCGGUGAAGGGUGGGCUCGCGUCCGAUUAGAUAGUUGGUGAGGUAACGGCCCACCAAGUCGACGAUCGGUAGCCGACCUGAGAGGGUGAUCGGCCACAUUGGGACUGAGACACGGCCCAAACUCCUACGGGAGGCAGCAGUGGGGAAUAUUGGGCAAUGGGGGGAAACCCCCUGACCCAGCAACGCCGCGUGAGGGAAGAAGGUUUUCGGAUCGUAAACCUCUGUCCUUGGUGAAGAGGAAGAGACGGUAGCCAAGGAGGAAGCCCCGGCUAACUACGUGCCAGCCGCUGC
RNAcentral lists this ribosomal RNA (499 nucleotides) under uncultured bacterium. RNAcentral's name for it is "bacterial SSU rRNA". It matches the Rfam family "Bacterial small subunit ribosomal RNA", at positions 34 to 518 of the family's 1533-position model. The record is from RNAcentral.